RNAcentral lists this ribosomal RNA (371 nucleotides) under uncultured organism. Its description in RNAcentral is "bacterial SSU rRNA". It matches the Rfam family "Bacterial small subunit ribosomal RNA", at positions 527 to 896 of the family's 1533-position model. The record is from RNAcentral.
CGAGGGUGCAAGCGUUAAUCGGAAUUACUGGGCGUAAAGCGAGUGUAGGUGGCCGCAUAAGUCGGAUGUGAAAGCCCUGGGCUUAACCUGGGAAUUGCAUUCGAUACUGUGUGGCUAGAGUCUGAUAGAGGGAAGUGGAAUUCCAGGUGUAGCGGUGAAAUGCGUAGAUAUCUGGAGGAACAUCAGUGGCGAAGGCGGCUUCCUGGAUCAAGACUGACACUGAGGCUCGAAAGCGUGGGGAGCGAACAGGAUUAGAUGCCCUGGUAGUCCACGCCCUAAACUAUGUCAACUAGACGUUGGGUUCUUUAAUGAACUUAGUGUCGAAGCUAACGCGUUAAGUUGACCGCCUGGGGAGUACGGCCGCAAGGUUG